AGAAAUAUGUCUGAUAAAAGAAUUACUUUGAUGGAGUAAAUAAUGGAGGUUACAGUCCUCUUAUUUCUA
This 69-nucleotide transfer RNA is filed under the name Megatherium americanum. RNAcentral's name for it is "tRNA-Ile". It matches the Rfam family "tRNA". Rfam says of the family: Transfer RNA (tRNA) molecules are approximately 80 nucleotides in length. Lineage: Eukaryota; Metazoa; Chordata; Mammalia; Pilosa; Megatheriidae. The record is from RNAcentral.